UAAAAAAUCGUAACAAGGUCUCCGUAGGUGAACCUGCGGAGGGAUCAUUACACAAAUAUGAAGGCGGGCUGGAACCUCUCGGGGUUACAGCCUUGCUGAAUUAUUCACCCUUGUCUUUUGCGUACUUCUUGUUUCCUUGGKGGGUUCGCCCACCACUAGGACAAACAUAAACCUUUUGUAAUUGCAAUCAGCGUCAGUAACAAAUUAAUAAUUACAACUUUCAACAACGGAUCUCUUGGUUCUGGCAUCGAUGAAGAACGCAGCGAAAUGCGAUAAGUAGUGUGAAUUGCAGAAUUCAGUGAAUCAUCGAAUCUUUGAACGCACAUUGCGCCCUUUGGUAUUCCAAAGGGCAUGCCUGUUCGAGCGUCAUUUGUACCCUCAAGCUUUGCUUGGUGUUGGGCGUCUUGUCUCUAGCUUUGCUGGAGACUCGCCUUAAAGUAAUUGGCAGCCGGCCUACUGGUUUCGGAGCGCAGCACAAGUCGCACUCUCUAUCAGCAAAGGUCUAGCAUCCACUAAGCCUUUUUUUCAACUUUUGACCUCGGAUCAGGUAGGGAUACCCGCUGAACUUAAGCAUAUCAAUAAGCGGAGGAAAAGAAACCAACAGGGAUUGCCCUAGUAACGGCGAGUGAAGCGGCAACAGCUCAAAUUUGAAAUCUGGCUCUUUUAGAGUCCGAGUUGUAAUUUGCAGAGGGCGCUUUGGCUUUGGCAGCGGUCCAAGUUCCUUGGAACAGGACGUCACAGA
This 742-nucleotide ribosomal RNA is filed under the name Alternaria sp. G20. RNAcentral's name for it is "eukaryotic LSU rRNA". The stretch from base 534 to 742 matches the Rfam family "Eukaryotic large subunit ribosomal RNA", at positions 1 to 209 of the family's 3401-position model. Lineage: Eukaryota; Fungi; Ascomycota; Dothideomycetes; Pleosporales; Pleosporaceae. The record is from RNAcentral.